AACUGGACCUGGCAGUCCAGAUGAGGUUGUACAAACAUCAAGAGGAAGUGAGAACAAAGAAAAUGACGGUGAAGAUGUUCCAAGGCGUUACAACCUUCGAUGGAGGAAACCUGUUGACCGCUACCAAGCUCCUAUGGAAAUAAGACAAAGAGAUCGAGAGAGGACUAACUCGGGCCAGCCCUGUUCUGUCAG
This 192-nucleotide long non-coding RNA is filed under the name Anas platyrhynchos (mallard). RNAcentral's name for it is "lncRNA (ENSAPLG00020003094.1)". The record is from RNAcentral. Lineage: Eukaryota; Metazoa; Chordata; Aves; Anseriformes; Anatidae.